Molecule: ribosomal RNA, 397 nt
Filed under: uncultured bacterium
Lineage: Bacteria
Description: bacterial SSU rRNA
Rfam family: Bacterial small subunit ribosomal RNA
Source: RNAcentral
AUUGAACGCUGGCGGCAUGCCUUACACAUGCAAGUCGAACGGCAGCACGGGAGCAAUCCUGGUGGCGAGUGGCGAACGGGUGAGUAAUAUAUCGGAACGUGCCCGGUCGUGGGGAUAACGUAGCGAAAGCUACGCUAAUACCGCAUACGAUCUACGGAUGAAAGCGGGGGAUCGCAAGACCUCGCGCGAUUGGAGCGGCCGAUAUCAGAUUAGGUAGUUGGUGAGGUAAAGGCUCACCAAGCCGACGAUCUGUAGCUGGUCUGAGAGGACGACCAGCCACACUGGGACUGAGACACGGCCCAGACUCCUACGGGAGGCAGCAGUGGGGAAUUUUGGACAAUGGGCGCAAGCCUGAUCCAGCAAUGCCGCGUGCAGGAUGAAGGCCUCGGUUGUAACU